UCAAUCUGGAAAACAUUUAUGCGCUUAUGCAGAAAAAGAAAGUUAACUUGUGGCGAUUGAGCAAAACUUUAUUACACUGAAGUUAUUUUAAAGUUAUUUCUUUGUAUUGCAAAAUAAAUUCUAAUAUCCAUGAAUUAUGGAAAUGAUUUUAGUGUAAAAUAACACUUAUAUUUUACUUUACGUAUCCAUUGCAAAUGGAAAUUUAAAUACUUUGAAAUAUAAACUGGAAUAUAUGUUACAAAUUCUUUAUGAAAAUAUGUGAAAGAAUGAAUAGGAUUUAUUUUUUGGAUUGGGGAAGAAUUCUGUGAUUUGUAUAACCAAUUAUGCAUUAAUCAACAUGUUUGUAUUUUAUAUCACAAAAGAUAUUUAAUUUAUCUUUAAAGUUUGGCGCCAAAUUUGGUGAUACCCGUCCCUACACAGAUUUAGCCACACAGCGUCAUUAAGAACUGGAUAUUUUACUGCAAAGACUGCAUUAGAUUCGAAUUGGGCAAUGGAAAUCAACAAAGUCUGUCCAUUGUCCUGUGCAGAAGAGCUCCAUAUUGAAUCAUGAUACCUGUUUAAGAAAGGUGCCCUGCUUUUCCUUUCUGGAAAAUACCCAAAGGACGUGGGAAAAUGCUUUAGUAUUGCAAAACUCAAUCUUGUUAAUUGCUGCUGAAAUUUUAAAAAAAUCCACUGCCAUAUAAACCCUCUAUGAUGUUAUUUUUGUUGUCAUGAAUUCAUCAUUCCACGCAUUGUUCCUAAGAUGCCAUCUUUCAUCUGGGCGAUAUUCAUCUUUCAUCUGGGCGACAUGUUACUCUGGGACCUAGAGUAACAACUGUUGGAAGUUGAUUGCUUCGUUCAAUUUCAAUGUAUAUACCAUAAAACAACAGACAUAUGUUUAAGCCCGACAAGAAAGCACGAGUUUACUUCAUAUUUUACCCGAUCAAAUGUUGUUUUAAAGACUGAAGAGGGCAAAUUGUGUCCCCUGUUAAAUGCCAUCAUAUUUCUUAUUACCAAAUAUUUGUUUGUAUGUGUCCUUUUUAAGAUGAUUUACUUUUAAAUUUAUGCUACUUUUUUAAAAAUAUAAUGUUCUAUUUUGAAUCCUGUGCUGUUUGUGUCUCAUUUAUUCUAUGACCAAUAUAAGUUUAACUUUUAAAUGGAUGCUAAUUUUUAAAUGUAAUGUUAUUUAUCAAAUUCUGUGUUGCAUGUGCCAUAUUUAUUCUAUCACAGAUAUAAUAUUAAACGGUUGGAACGCUGUGAAUGUUUUUGUACACUAUGUCAGUAUUCAAAUAUUCCGGUGAGAAUUUCUGCUAAAAUGAUGCUUAAACAGUAGCUGUUUAGAAAAUUAAAAUCAAAUAUAUUCUUAAAAUCUGGAUCCCAAAGCUCAAACGGAUGGUGCACUAAAAUUUAAUCUAAAUAAUGCGCAUUUCAAAAAAUAUUUCAAUUUACUUUGUAUUAAUUUUUAUUUCUGAAUAAAUUUCUAACAAUG
Argiope bruennichi is the source of this 1468-nucleotide long non-coding RNA. RefSeq lists it as uncharacterized. The transcript has 3 exons. Lineage: Eukaryota; Metazoa; Arthropoda; Arachnida; Araneae; Araneidae. The record is from RefSeq and is a predicted model, not a curated record.